CUAGCGACUUCAGAGUUUGAUCCUGGCUCAGGAUGAACGCUGGCGGCGUGCCUAACACAUGCAAGUCGAGCGGAGAUGUUGAGAGAUUCUUCGGAUGAUUUCUUCAUCUUAGCGGCGGAUGGGUGAGUAACACGUGGGUAACCUGCCCUGCACAGGGGGAUAACAGCUGGAAACGGCUGUUAAUACCGCAUAUGCACACGCUGCCGCAUGGCAGAGGGUGGAAAGAUUUAUCGGUGCAGGAUGGGCCCGCGUCGGAUUAACUAGUUGGCAGGGUAACGGCCUACCAAGGUGAUGAUCCGUAGCCGACCUGAGAGGGUGACCGGCCACAUUGGGACUGAGACACGGCCCAA
Molecule: ribosomal RNA, 350 nt
Filed under: uncultured bacterium
Lineage: Bacteria
Description: bacterial SSU rRNA
Rfam family: Bacterial small subunit ribosomal RNA
Source: RNAcentral